Molecule: ribosomal RNA, 1968 nt
Filed under: gut metagenome
Description: bacterial LSU rRNA
Rfam family: Bacterial large subunit ribosomal RNA
Source: RNAcentral
UUAAGUUAAUAAGGGCGCACGGUGGAUGCCUUGGCACUAGAAGCCGAUGAAGGACGUGACUAACGACGAAAUGCUUUGGGGAGUUGUAAGUAAACAUUGAUCCAGAGAUGUCCGAAUGGGGGAACCCGGCAUGUAAUGCAUGUCACUCAUUACUGUUAAGGUAAUGUAGAGGAAGACGCAGUGAACUGAAACAUCUAAGUAGCUGCAGGAAGAGAAAGCAAACGCGAUUGCCUUAGUAGCGGCGAGCGAAAAGGUAAGAGGGCAAACCGAUGUGUUUACACAUCGGGGUUGUAGGACUGCGUUGUGGGACGACAAGAUUAUAGAAGAAUUACCUGGGAAGGUAAGCCAAAGAGAGUAAUAGCCUCGUAUUCGAAAUAGUCUUUAACCCUAGCAGUAUCCUGAGUACGGCGAGACACGAGAAAUCUCGUCGGAAUCUGGGAGGACCAUCUCCUAACCCUAAAUACUCUCUAGUGACCGAUAGUGAACCAGUACCGUGAGGGAAAGGUGAAAAGCACCCCGGGAGGGGAGUGAAAUAGAACCUGAAACCGUGUGCCUACAACAAGUUCGAGCCCGUUAAUGGGUGAGAGCGUGCCUUUUGUAGAAUGAACCGGCGAGUUACGAUAUGAUGCGAGGUUAAGUUGAAGAGACGGAGCCGUAGGGAAACCGAGUCUUAAUAGGGCGCAUUAGUAUCAUGUCGUAGACCCGAAACCAUGUGACCUACCCAUGAGCAGGGUGAAGGUGAGGUAAAACUCACUGGAGGCCCGAACCAGGGCACGUUGAAAAGUGCUUGGAUGACUUGUGGGUAGCGGAGAAAUUCCAAACGAACUUGGAGAUAGCUGGUUCUCUCCGAAAUAGCUUUAGGGCUAGCGUCGAUGUUAAGUCUCUUGGAGGUAGAGCACUGUUUGAUUGAGGGGUCCAUCCCGGAUUACCAAUAUCAGAUAAACUCCGAAUGCCAACGAGAUAUAAUCGGCAGUCAGACUGCGAGUGCUAAGAUCCGUAGUCGAAAGGGAAACAGCCCAGACCACCAGCUAAGGUCCCAAAAUAUAUGUUAAGUGGAAAAGGAUGUGGGGUUGCACAGACAACUAGGAUGUUAGCUUAGAAGCAGCUAUUCAUUCAAAGAGUGCGUAAUAGCUCACUAGUCGAGUGACCCUGCGCCGAAAAUGUACCGGGGCUAAAACAUAUUACCGAAGCUGUGGAUACCUUUUAGGUAUGGUAGGAGAGCGUUCUAUGUGUGAUGAAGGUGUACCGUGAGGAGCGCUGGAACGCAUAGAAGUGAGAAUGCCGGUAUGAGUAGCGAAAGACAGGUGAGAAUCCUGUCCACCGUAAGACUAAGGUUUCCAGGGGAAGGCUCGUCCGCCCUGGGUUAGUCGGGACCUAAGGAGAGACCGAAAGGUGUAUCCGAUGGCCAACAGGUUGAUAUUCCUGUACUAGAGUAUAUAGUGAUGGAGGGACGCAGUAGGCUAACUAAAGCGUGCGAUUGGAAGUGCACGUCUAAGCAGUGAGGUGUGAUAUGAGUCAAAUGCUUAUAUCUUUAACAUUGAGCUGUGAUGGGGAGCGAAGUUUAGUAGCGAAGUUAGUGAUGUCACACUGCCAAGAAAAGCUUCUAGCGUUAAUUAUACUCUACCCGUACCGCAAACCGACACAGGUAGUCGAGGCGAGUAGCCUCAGGUGAGCGAGAGAACUCUCGUUAAGGAACUCGGCAAAAUGGCCCCGUAACUUCGGGAGAAGGGGCGCUGGCUUUAAGUCAGCCGCAGUGAAUAGGCCCAAGCAACUGUUUAUCAAAAACACAGCUCUCUGCUAAAUCGUAAGAUGAUGUAUAGGGGGUGACGCCUGCCCGGUGCUGGAAGGUUAAGAGGAGCGCUUAGCAUUAGCGAAGGUGUGAAUUGAAGCCCCAGUAAACGGCGGCCGUAACUAUAACGGUCCUAAGGUAGCGAAAUUCCUUGUCGGGGAAGUUCCGACCCGCACGAA